UUCAUGGGUAGAAUGUAAGAUUACAUUGUAAAAGACGUUCAUUCGAAGCGUAGCUAAACACACAGGCGGUUCAACGGAAAAUAUUAAGAGCGACAUUUAUAUAAAGGCAGUGUUCUGCAUACGGAGUGUUCCAGAUUCUUCCGGCGAAAAAGUGAAGCAGCAAUUUCAAAGACACACCAUUGAAUUAAUUCUCCACCAGGCCGGCGUCACAUCAUAACAGCUCUGCACAAAACGCAACAGCCCGCGCAUUGAUCCACAGGUGUACGAAACACUGUUGCCAACUUGGUGCUUUUCGCACUAAAUUUAGUGCUUUUCUUUAUUCAAAACGCAAAAAUUUUGGAGUUGAGUGCUUGGUACGUUUUUGGUGCUUUUUUUUUUAGUUUGAAGACAACAAAUCUGUAAAUCUUAACAAAAACGGGGGCAAAACUUAUAGAAAACGUAAGUUUUGUAAGAAACUUCACAAAAAUCUAAACAAAAUCAUUUCACAAUGGCAAUCAUAAGCGAGAGAGCAUAUGUUUACCAAUAAAAUAUGUGGCAGCAGUUUCAAUCAUUUCAAAAUUACAUUCGGUAAUUCGCCAAUGCUGGGACCAGAAAUCUCUGCUUAGAUCUUUAGAAGAAUUUGUUAUAUUUUUUACGAUUGUUCAAAAACAGUAAAAGUAAUAUCUAACGAACCUUUUGAAAAAAGAGAAUAAUCAAAAUCGGGAGGGACGGCUCUUUUGACACAAAAAUAUUUUUCCCACAGUAGGCUCAACUGAGACACAUUAAAUAGGAAAAUCAAGCUUUCGGAAAGAAAAGUUCUUUAUGUUCCUUUAGUUCACGAGAUCAUAAGAGUCUGCAGUGUAGAUUUAAACUACCACAUAGUUUAUGAAACUUUUUUUCUGGGUUUUUCUUUCGUUUGAUAGGAAUUGUAGAAAAAAUUAAGCAAAACAAAGAAAAUUAUAACAUUUAAACAGUU
Rhagoletis zephyria (snowberry fruit fly) is the source of this 955-nucleotide long non-coding RNA. RefSeq lists it as uncharacterized. Lineage: Eukaryota; Metazoa; Arthropoda; Insecta; Diptera; Tephritidae. The record is from RefSeq and is a predicted model, not a curated record.